CAAUAGCGUAUAUUUAAGUUGUUGCAGUUAAAAAGCUCGUAGUUGGAUUUCGGGUAGGAUUUGCCGGUCCGUCUUUGAGAUGUGUACUGGUAAGUCCUAUCUUCUUGUCGGGGACCAGCUCCUGGGCUUCACUGUCCGGGACUGGGAGCCGACGAAGUUACUUUGAGUAAAUUAGAGUGUUCAAAGCAAGCCUACGCUCUGAAUAUAUUAGCAUGGAAUAACACGAUAGGACUCUGGCUUAUCUUGUUGGUCUGUGAGACCAGAGUAAUGAUUAAGAGGGACAGUCGGGGACAUUCGUAUUUCAUUGUCAGAGGUGAAAUUCUUGGAUUCAUGAAAGACGAACUUCUGCGAAAGCAUUUGUCAAGGAUGUUUUCAUUAA
RNAcentral lists this ribosomal RNA (379 nucleotides) under uncultured eukaryote. RNAcentral describes it as "partial 18S ribosomal RNA". It matches the Rfam family "Eukaryotic small subunit ribosomal RNA", at positions 592 to 976 of the family's 1831-position model. The record is from RNAcentral.